AGUGAACGCUGGCGGUAGGCCUAACACAUGCAAGUCGAACGGCAGCACAGUAAGAGCUUGCUCUUACGGGUGGCGAGUGGCGGACGGGUGAGGAAUACAUCGGAAUCUACUUUUUCGUGGGGGAUAACGUAGGGAAACUUACGCUAAUACCGCAUACGACCUACGGGUGAAAGCAGGGGAUCUUCGGACCUUGCGCGAUUGAAUGAGCCGAUGUCGGAUUAGCUAGUUGGCGGGGUAAAGGCCCACCAAGGCGACGAUCCGUAGCUGGUCUGAGAGGAUGAUCCGCCACCAUGGAACUGAGACACCGGCCAGACUCCUACGGGAGGGCGGAGUGGGGAAUAUUGGACAAUGGGCGCAAGCCUGAUCCAGCCAUACCGCGUGGGUGAAGAAGGCCUUCGGGUUGUAAAGCCCUUUUGUUGGGAAAGAAAAGCAGCAGGUUAAUACCCCGCUGUUCUGACGGUACCCAAAGAAUAAGCACCGGCUAACUUCGUG
This 492-nucleotide ribosomal RNA is filed under the name uncultured bacterium. Its description in RNAcentral is "partial 16S ribosomal RNA". It matches the Rfam family "Bacterial small subunit ribosomal RNA", at positions 29 to 507 of the family's 1533-position model. The record is from RNAcentral.